This 91-nucleotide transfer RNA is filed under the name Bacilli bacterium. RNAcentral's name for it is "tRNA-Ser". It matches the Rfam family "tRNA". From Rfam's summary of the family: Transfer RNA (tRNA) molecules are approximately 80 nucleotides in length. Their secondary structure includes four short double-helical elements and three loops (D, anti-codon, and T loops). The record is from RNAcentral. Lineage: Bacteria; Bacillati; Bacillota; Bacilli. RNAcentral also lists the same sequence under 1 other name.
GGAGGCAUACCCAAGAGGCCGAAGGGGACGGUUUGCUAAACCGUUAGUGGUCGUAAGGCCAGCGAGAGUUCAAAUCUCUCUGCCUCCGCCA